RNAcentral lists this ribosomal RNA (459 nucleotides) under uncultured bacterium. RNAcentral's name for it is "partial 16S ribosomal RNA". It matches the Rfam family "Bacterial small subunit ribosomal RNA", at positions 338 to 795 of the family's 1533-position model. The record is from RNAcentral.
CCUACGGGUGGCAGCAGUGAGGAAUAUUGGUCAAUGGGCGGAAGCCUGAACCAGCCAAGUCGCGUGAAGGAAGACGGUCCUAUGCAUUGUAAACUUCUUUUGUCCGGGAACAAAAUACGGCACGCGUGGCUUUCCGAGAGUACUUGAAGAAAAAGCAUCGGCUAACUCCGUGCCAGCAGCCGCGGUAAUACGGAGGAUCCGAGCGUUAUCCGGAUUUAUUGGGUUUAAAGGGUGCGUGGGCGGAAGGUCAAGUCAGCGGUAAAAGCCAGGGGCUCAACCCCUCCGAGCCGUUGAAACUGGUUUUCUUGAGUCGUCGAGAGGUAUGCGGAAUGCGUAGUGUAGCGGUGAAAUGCUUAGAUAUGGCGCAGAACUCCGAUUGCGAAGGCAGCAUACCGGCGCUGAACUGACGCUGAUGCACGAAAGCGUGGGUAUCGAACAGGAUUAGAUACCCGAGUAGUC